UGGCCUUUAUUAGUAAUAAAAGUCAUAGCUGUUUUCCCAACCCCCUUCAUCAUUCCUUGGUUUUAUUUCUCACUUUGUUUAGAACCCAAGCAAAGAAGAGGUGUGAUAUUUAUGGGAACCUCUUGGAGACUUCAGCAUUGGAUGCACGGACCAGAAUGGUGAAAACCAAAAAUCAAAGGCUUGAAAUAAGGGGAAUCAAAAUACACCCUGGAAAGACUUUUGAGAACCCUGGUGGAAAGAGACGCUGGGAGUAAGGGUGCUAUACCAUGACAAAGAACCUUUGUUCAACUUGGAAUUAUCGAAGCUGGAAACCAAGAGGUUUUAAUAAACUCCAUGGGAGGGAAAAAAAAAAAAAAAAGAUAUGACCUGGUGAGUAAGGCUGCUACAGUUGUAGAUUUCUAAAGCAUUCUAGCUGAAGGGGCUGUUUCUGAAGUGAUGAGGCCUACAUUAGAGACUUUCUUCCCCAAAAUUGUAAGUGGAAGAGUACCAGCAUUAAUCUGUAAAGGAGAGAUUUCUGGAAUCAAGUUCACAGGCUAAGAAUUCUGAAAAACUAGCAUUGGCUGACAGUCAGUGAGGCUGAAGCCAGAAUGUUCUCCAUUUAUCCUCUUUCCUCUAGAUACUAUUGAGUUUC
Molecule: long non-coding RNA, 631 nt
Filed under: Ovis aries (sheep)
Lineage: Eukaryota; Metazoa; Chordata; Mammalia; Artiodactyla; Bovidae
Description: lncRNA (ENSOARG00000025788.1)
Source: RNAcentral